This 253-nucleotide ribosomal RNA is filed under the name uncultured bacterium. RNAcentral describes it as "partial 16S ribosomal RNA". It matches the Rfam family "Bacterial small subunit ribosomal RNA", at positions 524 to 776 of the family's 1533-position model. The record is from RNAcentral.
UACGAAGGGGGCUAGCGUUGCUCGGAAUCACUGGGCGUAAAGCGCACGUAGGCGGACUCUUAAGUCGGGGGUGAAAGCCCAGAGCUCAACUCUGGAACUGCCUUCGAAACUAGAGGACUUGGGUACUGGAGAGGUGAGUGGAAUUCCGAGUGUAGAGGUGAAAUUCGUAGAUAUUCGGAAGAACACCAGUGGCGAAGGCGACUCGCUGGCCAGUUACCGACGCUCAGGCGCGACAGCGUGGGGAGCAAACAGG